AACGAACGCUGGCGGCGCGCCUAAUACAUGCAAGUCGAGCGAGAAGACGUAGCAAUACGUUUGUAAAGCGGCGAGCGGGUGAGGAAUACAUGGGUAACCUACCCUCGAGUGGGGAAUAACUAGCCGAAAGGUUAGCUAAUACCGCGUACGCUCCUUGGACUUCGGUUCAGGGAGGAAAGCGAUACCGUGGGUAUCGCGCUCUUGGAUGGGCUCAUGUCCUAUCAGCUUGUUGGGAGGUAACGGCUCACCAAGGCUUCGACGGGUAGCUGGUCUGAGAGGACGAUCAGCCACACUGGCACUGCGACACGGGCCAGACUCCUACGGGAGGCAGCAGUAAGGAAUAUUGCGCAAUGGGCGAAAGCCUGACGCAGCGACGCCGCGUGGGGGAUGAAGGUCUUCGGAUUGUAAACCCCUUUCGAGAGGGAAGAUGGAACGAGCAAUCGUUCGGACGGUACCUCCAGAAGCAGCCACGGCUAACUUCGUGCCAGCAGCCG
This 494-nucleotide ribosomal RNA is filed under the name uncultured bacterium. Its description in RNAcentral is "bacterial SSU rRNA". It matches the Rfam family "Bacterial small subunit ribosomal RNA", at positions 29 to 517 of the family's 1533-position model. The record is from RNAcentral.